Molecule: RNA transcript, 7723 nt
Organism: Bufo gargarizans (Asiatic toad)
Lineage: Eukaryota; Metazoa; Chordata; Amphibia; Anura; Bufonidae
Gene name: zinc finger protein OZF-like
Exons: 9
Source: RefSeq, a predicted model, not a curated record
GGAGCCCUCGCGCUGCCUCAGACUCUCUUUGCUGGAACUUCUCCUCUUGCUCCAAUGCCGACUCUACAUUCAGCCCGGCCGCUCUGGCAGAUGAAGAUCUAGGGGCUGCUUCAGGCUCUCAGCAGCAGAGAUGGGAGAUGGCUGGAAAAUCAUCAUGGCGGUCUGGUCUGAAUGGAGAAGAUGAGGAAAGAGAACGUCUAUAACAAAGGUGACAUCACUGGAUGUAAGAGGGGUUAUCAUGAUCAGACCCUCCAACCAGGAUCAUUAGCAGUUCUGAGGAUGGACGAUGACAAGAGUAAUGUGACUGAGAGGAUACUAAAUCUUACCUUGGAGAUCCUCUACCUGCUGACUGGAGAGGAUUACAUACCUCUAAAGAAGGCUGAGAAGGAGCUUGUCGCAGUGACUUCACCUCAUUCAUUGAUACAUGAGCAGAAGAUCCUCAAACUAACCAACAAUAUUGUGGAGCUGCUGACUGGAGAGGUUCCUAUAAGGUGUCAGGAUGUCACUGUCUAUUUUUCUAUGGAGGAAUGGGAGUAUUUAGAAGGACAGAAAGAUCUCUACAAAGACAUUAUAGAGAUUCGCCAGACCCUCAUUUCAUUGGGUGAGUCUAGUAAGAAGGAAACACCAGAGAGAUGUCCUAGUCCAAUUUAUGAUGAAGAUGCAAUAAAGGAAAAUAAGAACACCUCACAAGUUUACAAGGAGGGUGAUCUGAAUAUUGUGUUUAUGGAUAUUGAUCCAGAGAAUGAAGAUGAAUUAUUAGAUGUGAAGGUUAAGGAAGAAGAAAUACCUAUUGGUAUCAGCCUGGGCAGAGACGACAGUGGGGGCAGCAUAAAGGAUUGUACAAUUCCACCCAGUGAAAUCGAAGAUGGAGAUGUCGCACAAGAUUCUUCAAACACCAGUAAAGCAAAUAUAGGUUCACCAUCAACUAAUGAAUCUUCUGAUUCGUCCAAACAUAGAGAACAUGUUCCUGAGAUUGCUACAUUUAAAGUUGGCUACAGAAGUGACAACAUGUAUGCCUGUUCUGAAUGUGGCAAAGGUUUUUCCAAAAAAGAUAAAUUCAUCAUUCACAUGAGAGUCCACACCGGUGAGAAACCAUAUACCUGUCCCGAGUGUGGAAAACGCUUUACACAAAAAGCUAACCUGAUAGCUCAUCAAAAGACACACACAGGCGAAAGGCCGUUUUCGUGCACUGAGUGCGGCAAAGACUUUACCUGUAAAUCAACACUUGUUAAACACUGGAGAAUACACACGGGCGAGAAGCCCUUCUCAUGUUCUAACUGUGGAAAAUGUUUUACCUACAAAUCCCAUCUUUUAGAACACCAAAGAAUUCACACAGGUGAAAAACCUUUCUCCUGCUCCAAGUGUGGCAAGUCUUUUAGACACAAGUCCCAUGUCAUUGGCCACCAGCGGGUCCACACCGGUGAGAAGCCCUUCACUUGCUCAAAGUGUGGUAAAUGUUUUACACAGGAAUCAAGUCUGGCCUAUCAUCAGAGGAUCCACACAGGAGAGAAACCAUUUAACUGCCCUGAAUGUGGAAAGUGCUUCACCUAUAAGUCUACUCUCGUGAAACAUCUGGUAAUCCAUUCUGGAGAAAAGCCAUAUUCCUGCUUGCACUGUGACAAGAGCUUUACCCAGAGGUCCAUACUCAAUGAACAUCAGAAAAAUCACACAGGAGAGCGGCCUUUUGUGUGCUCCAUGUGUGGAAGGGCAUUUACUCGCAAGUCUAAUAUGUUAAAACAUCAGAUCACACACACAGGGGAGAAACCGUACAAGUGUGCAGAGUGCGGAAAUAGCUUUACACAGAAGGCAAGUCUUGUCAAACACCAGAAACUUCAUUCUGCACAGGACUGAAAAGAAGGAACUUAGACAUCUUUUGAUGUUUUUUUUUUUUGCCUGUAUUGUCUUAAUUUUACUAUGACAUAUUGACCGAAAAUAUUUAUUUGCCUUAAAGGGGUUUUCUGGGAUUUCUAACAGAGAUGCUCAUUUAGUGGUUUUCUUCAUGCUUUUUUUUUUCAAUUUGGACUCUCCAGACCCAUUCUCACCAUGUAAAUAAAUCACUCAGUUUUUUUACAUCCUGUAUAUAGCACUUUCUGAUGCUGUAUUCAACCAUACCCAAAAUGCACUUCCACAGCUCCAGCACCGCCACUAACAACACCCAGCUAGUUUACAGCUCCUCCCACCAGCUAGUUACGUAGACACUCCAAUGGGUUUGGCUGGGGCAGGUUUAAAUGCCCUAAAUUUACACUUAUCAAUGAAAAUAUAAGUAUGCAAAUGUAGCCUCAGGAAUAGACUAACACUACAUUGUUGAAAAUUCCAAAUGCAUCCUCUACGGUAGUCUACUGCAUGGAAGAACAUAAUAAAUGUAGUCUCUGCCGUGGUCUAGGAUCACAGUGGCGACCAGGCCAGAUGUUGCUUCAACAGUAGUAUAAGACCCCAUCCUGAACUGUGCCAAAUAUUGCCCUAAUGCUUAUAGGAGAGGAGAGAACACUAGGUUGAACUGCAAGUCAGGGGAGGACAAGGGGCUGCUCACCUUGUUUUGUUGUGCAGAGCACCUAAUGGCUAAUAUUGCAUAAAGUGAAGAUUGUCACCGCUGCUGCUCAUCAUCCCUUAGUUCCAUAGAAAAUCUGGUCUACACAAGAAGAUGCUGAAGAAAAUGAAAGGGAUCGCCAGCGGUGCUGCGGACAGAAGGUACCGAGGAGCUGGAUGAAGAAAACUCUUUAUUGGUGACAAACUGUUUCGGGAUCGGACCAAUCGCUUCAUCAGCUUCUAAAACUUUGGGAUGAAAACGCUGUAAGUGUCUUUUCAAAUUUGAUGCUCUUGUAGGUGCAUUUUUAUCAGGCCCACUGAAACUGCUAAUUUUUGCAUCACAUUGUUUUUCACCAUCAUCUUUUCUACUAAUACAUUGGCACACGUAAUGUUUUCCAUCACUUGAUAAUGCAAAGUGCUCAUAAACAGUAGACUUUGUCAUGUUUGUUGUUGACAGUCUUUUUGCCAUUGUUUAGGAUGCCUCUUUCACUAAAAUAUAAAAUGUUAUACUAACUGGCAUAAAAUGAGAUUUUUAAUAUCAACAUACACUGUCUUGUAAGUUGUACGUAUAUGGCUUUAUACAUACAAAUAAGCUAUAUAGCCCAGCACUAAAUCUAGACACGAUUUGUCCUAUACAGAAAAUCCAUGCACAGACAUGUACUGUACACACACAACACAGAGCCUAAAUUUUAGUACUCAGGGCAUAUAAACAAUCUGCACUACACAUAAACAUUCAUACAUUCCUGCACCACACUUACAGACCUACAGUUUCCUCCAGAAACAUGUGCACACAGGCUUCCCUCAUACAGACAAGCAGGCGCAGCUAUGAAGUUUCCUCCAGAAACAUGUGCACACAGUCUUCCCUCAUACAACAAAGCAGGCGCAGCUAUGCAGUUUCCUCCAGAAACAUGUGCACACAGUCUUCCCUCAUACAACAAAGCGGGCGCAGCUAUGCAGUUUCCUCCAGAAACAUGUACACACAGUCUUCCCUCAUACAACAAUUGCGUAUUGGUUGCCUAGAGGAGACGGGAGAAGGCGUCCUCCGCUACCUUGAAAAACCAGAACCACUAAUACCUGGACUGCCUCCACCUCCAACUAUUGAACAGCGGAUGGUAAGUGGAGGCCAAACCGCCCUGGUCUAUAGCCCGACUAUAGUGACCUACCAGCUUCCCUGGAAGUCUCGACCACAAUUUGUGAAAGAGGGCCAUUGGACCCACCUACCGAUCUGCUUGCAGCCAGAGGUUCUGGAUCAUCUUAGUAUGGCAGGAGAAUCCGCUCUAAAUUAAGCAGUAGAUCACGGUGGCCGUGAAGAGCACCACCACCGGGACCUUACCCAGGAGCGACAGUAGGUGUCGCCAAAGCACCACUGUUGAGGCAAGGAUGAGAUACCAGAGGCAGGAUCAACCUCUCUUCCAGUUCAGCAGCUCAAGCAGUGAGGAGGACCUGAAAUCCCUCCUCUGAAGAGCUGCUCCUUCUCAAGAUGUUUAAUUAAAGAACUACUGACUACUGCGUCUGAAAAGUGAGGACUUGUUGGCAUGUUUUAUAUGUUUUCUUUUUGUAGGUUGCCCUUGGUUUUAGCCCUCACCCGGAUGGCUAUGUGAGUAAGGACUCCCCUCAUCUUCAUUUAUCUCCCGUUUGCGCGUAACAGCGCCAAAAAUCCCCCCCCCCCAUUUCAAGUUAUUUGUGAGCCUCUUCUCAUGACCUGUGCUGCUGUUCUAUUAUUACCCAUGUGGAUUACACAUGACUUUGUGCCUUAUGUGGAUAACAAAUAUCGCCUCAUUUGGAUUACAAAUAAUGACAUUACUGUUCCCAUGGAUUACAAAUGACUUUAUUGCACGUUAGUUCCAGUUCAGUGCACUUUACCUUCAAGAAUGGACUUUAAUGUGAUUUUGCUAUUGCACUGUUUUAUUGUAUUAACAGUGUGCCUUAUUGAUUUGCACUAACCUUUUGAAUUUUCAGCAACGUUACAAGUACUGUGCCCAUUGUGUGUAUUCUCUUUCAGGUACAAUGUGAUAUUAUAUGCCUAUCUUGUAUGGUUUAUGGUCUUUGCACUUUAUUCAGAUCACCAGAUAGUCAGCACUCAGUUGCUUAGUUAUUAUGAACUGCCUCUGAGGAUGUCUGGCACGUCAGAAGCAGAUCUAACAUCGCUGUUGCUCUUUAUUGACUGCCUCUGAGGAUGCAGAAUACUAAUGGUUCCUGAGUGACAUAGCCUAUUGGUACACCAGAGAAACCAAGUGGUAAAGUCACAAGCAGGUCUAAUAUCGUUAACCCCUUCCCGACCAGAGCCAUAAUAGUACGGCGCUGCCCGGGUCUUUAAAGAUUGCGCCUGCUCCUGAGCGCUUCAGGCGCCAUAGCCACGGGUGGCCGCCUGCUUCUUAUAGCAGACACCUGCGGCUCAUGUCCGCAAACGGCAAUAAUGUCGAAUGUGGACAUUUAACCCCUCAGAUGCUGUGGUCAAUCCUGACCACGGCAUCUGAGCGCGCUGAAAACCAAAAGUGCCCGCUUCCGGUGGUGCUUCGGCUCCUCAGUGUGGCGAUCGGAGGAGCCGGAGCUUGUGUGCAGCAGCCCCUGUCUUUGUGAAUGACAGGAGGCUGCUGCAUAGCAUUUCCUAUGGAGCCCUUGCCUGUAAUAGGACUCCAUAGGAAACAAGCAAUUUUCUCAUAGAUUCUCAUAGAGUCUAUGAGAAAAGCAAACUAAUGCUAUGUGAACAGAAAAAUAAAAAAGUUAUGGCUCUGGGAAGGCAGGGAGCACAAAACGUAAACGGAAAAAAAUAUAUUAAAAAAUUCUGGGGUUAAGGGUAACACGCUGCUAUUAUGUAUGGAGAGAUUGGAGUGCCUAGCCUCAUCCUCUUAGUGUAUAUGUUGUGUUUAGCCAACAUUUAUUUAGUCCUAAGGCCUUGCGCACCGCCUUAAGGAAAAAAUGUGCAGUUAGCUACCGGUGUAAUAAUCAAGGUGACCUUGCGAAAAGCUAUAUACAGACCUUGGUGUUUGGAAGGGAAUACAGGAUGAAGCCAGCCUUGUAUUUGUGGGUGUUUCAUUGCAUAGUGGUGGGAUUACAGAGUGAAGACACCACCACACUUUCUUUGGUACUAGAGCUCAGUAUAUUCAAAAGAAAGCCAGGAAUGAGUGGUUUUUGCAGACCUUUUGGUUCUCUGGUUUAUACCGAGAGGGAAACUGUGAAUGGGCACCCUACUCAUACGCGCAGAGACCUAGUGGUAGCCGUUCCUACAUCAGUCAAUAAUAGUCUAUAUUCUCAUGCAGCACUCUAACCUUCCUUGGGUACCCUUAGAGCACACCCUAAGCACAAGCCGAGGGCGGGUUGGUUCUUAAGUGCCGGGGAAUGUAACGCCCCAGAGUGGCAUUACCACUUUUACACCCUGCUUCUAUCUGUGUAUGCUGGUGUCAACCUGUGUAUUUAUUGCCAGGUCCUGCAUAAUGUGGAUCUGUAUUUCUGAUUUUGUAACUGUUUAAGUGUAAUGUACCUGGUCCACCAGCAGAUGGCGGCAUCUAUGGCAGAGCUGUGUUAGCUAGAAUGGAACCCUCCUUCCAUUCUGGCCCCCCUCUCUAGAGAGGCAGGAGUUCAGCUAGUUAGAGUUUAGUUUAGUUUAGAGUACCCCCUGCAAGGGAAAGGGUGUGUUUAAGCCAACAGAGCACAUCCUCAGCACCGCUGGGCCUAGAGGCCCAAGCUGCAAGCUUCAGAAGCCAGGAGGAGAAGUUCCCUGGAUAAAGAUAAAGACAGAGUCAGACUACCAAGCUAAGUUCAGCAGAAAGGAAAAGUUUCUAUUCAAUCGUGAUAGCACAGCAAAGCCGAAUGUGUUUACCUGCCAGAACUUAUGCCAAAGCUUGCUGACAACCAAGAUAAAGCUGGAAGAUUUUUCUCUGAUGCAAGUUUAUUCAAGUAAAGCUGUUAUCAUAUACAAAGUCUGGACUCAAUCAUUUCUACAAAUCCCUCAACUAUUCCCCCUGUUUGCACUGCUUCAGACAACAACGCCUGGGGUUCCAGGAUAUCCAGGUAGGAGCACUGUGACACGUGCACAUCCACAACACCUAAAGGUUCAUUAUAGGCUACCCUUGCCCCACUCUGGCAUUCCUACAGCUAGGUACCACCAACACAAUUUACUCAAGGGGACUCCGUUCCCUGUUGCUGAAAUGCAACUGGCGUCACAACAAAACUUUCAUUUUAAGGGACCCCUGGUAGUACCCCGUCCGUUGCACACAUAUGUUGGGAUGCAGGCAUCUUGCUUCUCAGGCUGGAUGAAGCCAUUUUGUUUUUUUUUUCAGUUUGGGAACAUAAGACACUGUAGGGGACAUUACUAUGGGCACUGGGGGCAUUUUGAAUACUGUCUACACUAUGGGGAAAUUUUUAAAUACUGGUGGAACUAUGGCAGCAUUAUUAUUACAGGAGGCAACUGGGGGGGGGGUUUGGAAUAAUGGGUACUAUAAGGGGCAUUAUUAGGGCCCUAUGCUAUUAGAGGGGCAUUACUGGGGGCAUUCUUAAUGGGGGUGCUACAGGAAGCAUUCCUAUCAUUAGGAGCAUUAUAACUAAUGGGUCACUAUUUUUCUGCAGUACAGUAUUUGGGGUUUUAGUGAGCUCAGCAGGGACCGUAUGAGGGUUGGCAGUAUGAUGGGAAGUUUGUGCUGAGUGAGAAGGUGAGGAAAAUAAUGGAAAAAUAAGAAACCUAAGAUGUCUGUGUGGCAAACUCUGCAGAGAAUUAAAGUCGUCAUGGUGGUCUAGUCUGAAUGGGGAGGAUAAUGAAAGAAAACAUCUAUGUCAGAGCUAAAAUCACUGGAUGUAAGUCCUGCGUAGUACUGUAUUCUCCUGUAUGUUUCGCAGCACUGAAAGACCAGGCAACAUGCUGAAGUACGGCUGGCUUGGUGCUGUGGCCCAAAUAUAACCUCCCCCAUAUCUUAGUUACAGACACACCGAGGGGAAGCUUCUGGGGAGGUAUUUUGUGCUGCUCUCUGGUAUUUGGCUCAGCUGGGACAGUACAUUGUAUAUUCUUUGUGAAUCUAUAUAUAUGUUCUGUGACCUGUGCAAAGGUCAAGAUCUGUUGCCAUCUGUUAUGAAUGCUGGAUCCUGUGUUAUGUAAUCUAUCUAUCCAUCAAUUUGAUAUUUGUCAUCCUAACGGUGCCUGUAAUGAUAAGCAGGUAACUGCAGUAAAGUGAUCUGUACAGACCAAGAAGUGGCACCUAUUAUU